This 518-nucleotide long non-coding RNA is filed under the name Homo sapiens (human). Its description in RNAcentral is "HSALNT0314662". The record is from RNAcentral. Lineage: Eukaryota; Metazoa; Chordata; Mammalia; Primates; Hominidae.
UCUUGCUAAUUAAAGUAAGGUACACGGAAACAGAACAUCAACAUCAUCCUAGAACUUGUUAGAAAUGCAGAAUCUGGGGCUCCAUCCCAGACCUUCCAGGAAAAGCCUCUUUCCUCUUCUUCUGGGUUGGUGCUAGGCCUCCCAGAGGAGCAAAUCAUGACUGAUGGGGAGAAGAAGGCAACACAGCUUCAAAGACCUGCCCCAAAUCCAUCAAAAACAGCUGGAUUAAUUCCCAGAGAAUGGAGUCAUUUUCCUGAUGGGAACUCUUAGCACUGAUUGGAAGGAGGAGAUUAGCGGGCUUUUCAUUUUUGUCCUGAUGCAAUUUGAAAAUCUCAUCAAUUCAAAGGUAUCCUGGAGACACUGUUUCUCAAUUCUUGUUUCAUGUUUCUCAACCUGUAUUUAACCCUUGGAUCCAAUUCUUUCUUCUUUGUCAUUCUCUUUCAAUGAAUAUGCAUUGGUAUAUGUUAACUUAACACCUACUGUGUGCAAUGCACAGUGCUAGAUGACUUCACAAACCU